AGCAGUCUACGCAAACUACCCUGAAUGCACUUGACCUCAUGAUCCUGGAAGAUAAGCAGGGUCAGGUCUGGUUAGUAAAGAAAUGGGAUGGAAAAGAACUAGUCACUCUGCUU
Molecule: ribosomal RNA, 113 nt
Filed under: Octodon degus (degu)
Lineage: Eukaryota; Metazoa; Chordata; Mammalia; Rodentia; Octodontidae
Source: RNAcentral